GCAAAGGACCAAUCAGAAACGUCGAGUUGAAUCACGGUGUGUUCUUGAUGGAUGUAUUUUUCACGUAUUAAUUGGAGAACAAUAUCAACUUUAGAUUGUGUGUCCGCUUGUGUUUAAAACUAUUUAUAUUUAAGAAUACUCUCAAAUAUGAAAUGCAAUAAGGGAUUCUUGAGAAGAAUUGUGGCCUGAUGAAACAAAGUCUGAAACAACUUAGUCAUCAAGAAUUGAUAUAACUGACUAAGAUAGCUAUUGACAAUGUUAUUGACAGUGAUCCAUUGUUCUCUGCAUUAUUCUCAGAUAGUUACGAUAGAAGAACUUAUAUCACAGGUUCUACCACGUGACAAGACAGUUCUUCAUCUUGAGAAGGCUAUUGUGCGAAGGCUAUCGUGUGUAUUUUGAUGAAAAAACAUCAGGAAAAAACUCAUAAGAUGCAAUAAGAGAUACUUCAUUAGAAUUGUAACAAU
Molecule: long non-coding RNA, 464 nt
Organism: Dinoponera quadriceps
Lineage: Eukaryota; Metazoa; Arthropoda; Insecta; Hymenoptera; Formicidae
Exons: 3
Source: RefSeq, a predicted model, not a curated record